GAGUUUGAUCAUGGCUCAGAUUGAACGCUGGCGGCAUGCCUUACACAUGCAAGUCGAGCGGCAGCGCGGGGGCAACCCUGGCGGCGAGCGGCGAACGGGUGAGUAAUACAUCGGAACGUGUCCUUUCGUGGGGGAUAACCAGUCGAAAGACUGGCUAAUACCGCAUGAGAUCUCACGAUGAAAGCGGGGGACCGCAAGGCCUCGCGCUAACAGAUGAGCCCAAGUCGGAUUAGCUAGUUGGUGGGGUAAAAGCCUACCAAGGCGACGAUCCGUAGCUGGUCUGAGAGGACGAUCAGCCACACUGGGACUGAGACACGGCCCAGACUCCUACGGGAGGCAGCAGUGGGGAAUAUUGGACAAUGGGGGAAACCCUGAUCCAGCAAUGCCGCGUGUGUGAAGAAGGCCUGCGGGUUGUAAAGCACUUUUGGCAGGGAUGAAAAGCACUGUGGUAAUACCUCAGUGUGUUGACCUAACCUGCAGAAGAAGCACCGGCUAACUCCGUG
This 503-nucleotide ribosomal RNA is filed under the name uncultured beta proteobacterium. RNAcentral describes it as "bacterial SSU rRNA". It matches the Rfam family "Bacterial small subunit ribosomal RNA", at positions 9 to 507 of the family's 1533-position model. Lineage: Bacteria; Pseudomonadati; Pseudomonadota; Betaproteobacteria. The record is from RNAcentral.